This 253-nucleotide ribosomal RNA is filed under the name uncultured bacterium. RNAcentral's name for it is "partial 16S ribosomal RNA". It matches the Rfam family "Bacterial small subunit ribosomal RNA", at positions 524 to 776 of the family's 1533-position model. The record is from RNAcentral.
UACAGAGGUCUCAAGCGUUGUUCGGAUUCAUUGGGCGUAAAGGGUGCGUAGGUGGCGCUGUAAGUCAGGUGUGAAAUUUCGGAGCUUAACUCCGAAACUGCAUUUGAUACUGCGGUGCUUGAGGACUGGAGAGGAGACUGGAAUUUACGGUGUAGCAGUGAAAUGCGUAGAGAUCGUAAGGAAGACCAGUGGCGAAGGCGGGUCUCUGGACAGUUCCUGACACUGAGACACGAAGGCCAGGGGAGCAAACGGG